This 1533-nucleotide ribosomal RNA is filed under the name Lacticaseibacillus rhamnosus. RNAcentral's name for it is "bacterial SSU rRNA". It matches the Rfam family "Bacterial small subunit ribosomal RNA". Lineage: Bacteria; Bacillati; Bacillota; Bacilli; Lactobacillales; Lactobacillaceae. The record is from RNAcentral.
AGAGUUUGAUCCUGGCUCAGGACGAACGCUGGCGGCGUGCCUAAUACAUGCAAGUCGAACGAGGUUUGAUCAGUUUGCGGUGGUGCUUGCAUCACCAAUUACCGAUUAAACCGAGUGGCGGACGGGUGAGUAACACGUGGGUAACCUGCCCUUCAGCAGGGGAUAACAUUUGGAAACAGAUGCUAAUACCGUAUAACCACGGAGACCGCAUGGUCUCCGGGUAAAAGACGGCGCAAGCUAUCACUGAGGGAUGGACCCGCGGCGUAUUAGCCAGUUGGUGGGGUAAUGGCCUACCAAAGCGAUGAUACGUAGCCGACCUGAGAGGGUAAUCGGCCACAUUGGGACUGAGACACGGCCCAAACUCCUACGGGAGGCAGCAGUAGGGAAUCUUCCACAAUGGACGCAAGUCUGAUGGAGCAACGCCGCGUGAGUGAAGAAGGCUUUCGGGUCGUAAAACUCUGUUAUUGAAGAAGAACGUGUGUGAGAGUAACUGCUCAUGCAGUGACGGUAUUCAACCAGAAAGUCACGGCUAACUACGUGCCAGCAGCCGCGGUAAUACGUAGGUGGCAAGCGUUGUCCGGAUUUAUUGGGCGUAAAGCGAGUGCAGGCGGUUUUUUAAGUCUGAUGUGAAAGCCUUCGGCUUAACCGAAGAAGUGCAUCGGAAACUGGGAAACUUGAGUGCAGAAGAGGAGAGUGGAACUCCAUGUGUAGCGGUGAAAUGCGUAGAUAUAUGGAAGAACACCAGUGGCGAAAGCGGCUCUCUGGUCUGUAACUGACGCUGAGGCUCGAAAGCGUGGGUAGCAAACAGGAUUAGAUACCCUGCUAGUCCACGCCGUAAACGAUGAAUACUAAGUGUUGGGGGGUUUCCCGCCCCUCAGUGCUGCAGCUAACGCAUUAAGUAUUCCGCCUGGGGAGUACGACCGCAAGGUUGAAACUCAAAGGAAUUGACGGGGGCCCGCACAAGCGGUGGAGCAUGUGGUUUAAUUCGAAGCAACGCGAAGAACCUUACCAGGUCUUGACAUCUUCUGCCAAGCUGAGAGAUCAGCCGUUCCCUUCGGGGACAGAAUGACAGGUGGUGCAUGGUUGUCGUCAGCUCGUGUCGUGAGAUGUUGGGUUAAGUCCCGCAACGAGCGCAACCCUUAUGAUUAGUUGCCAGCAUUCAGUUGGGCACUCUAGUCAGACUGCCGGUGAUAAACCGGAGGAAGGCGGGGAUGACGUCAAAUCAUCAUGCCCCUUAUGACCUGGGCUACACACGUGCUACAAUGGGUGGUACAACGAGCAGCGAGACCGCGAGGUCAAGCGAAUCUCUAAAAACCAUCCUCAGUUCGGAUUGUAGGCUGCAACUCGCCUACAUGAAGCUGGAAUCGCUAGUAAUCGCGGAUCAGCACGCCGCGGUGAAUACGUUCCCGGGCCUUGUACACACCGCCCGUCACACCAUGAGAGUUUGUAACACCCAAAGCCGGUAGGACAACCGCAAGGAGUCAGCCAUCUAAGGUGGGACAAAUGAUUAGGGUGAAGUCGUAACAAGGUAAC